This 241-nucleotide ribosomal RNA is filed under the name uncultured bacterium. Its description in RNAcentral is "partial 16S ribosomal RNA". It matches the Rfam family "Bacterial small subunit ribosomal RNA", at positions 524 to 763 of the family's 1533-position model. The record is from RNAcentral.
GACAGAGGAUGCAAGCGUUAUCCGGAAUGAUUGGGGCGUAAAGCGUCUGUAGGUGGCUUUUUAAGUCCGCCGUCAAAUCCCAGGGCUCAACCCUGGAAUGCCGGUGGAAACUGUCGAGCUCGAGUCCGGAAGAGGAGUGUGGAAUUCCUGGUGUAGCGGUGAAAUGCGCAGAUAUCAGGAGGAACACCAAUGGCGAAGGCAGCACUCUGGGACGGUACUGACGCUGAGACGCGAAAGCGUG